Molecule: long non-coding RNA, 262 nt
Organism: Mauremys mutica (yellowpond turtle)
Lineage: Eukaryota; Metazoa; Chordata; Testudines; Geoemydidae
Exons: 3
Source: RefSeq, a predicted model, not a curated record
AAUGCACUUCCCUUGGUCUGUAGUAAAAACCAGCAUGAAACAGCUGUUUCAAAUGUGUCAGUCAGUGAGUCACUCUCUGAUAAUAUGAUAUUGGCUCUGCAGCAAAUCUGUGGUGUUCAGAUAUUUAAUGAAGAUAUUAAAUAGAGCUGGUCAGAAAAAAAGGACUUUGAAAUAACAUUUUUCACCUGUGACCGUGAGCCCUGUAGCUUUCGACCCUUCUGAAAUGGAAGAACGCAACCUCAUGAUAAAGAACUUUGGGGAC